Molecule: long non-coding RNA, 91 nt
Organism: Amblyraja radiata (thorny skate)
Lineage: Eukaryota; Metazoa; Chordata; Chondrichthyes; Rajiformes; Rajidae
Exons: 3
Source: RefSeq, a predicted model, not a curated record
ACCAAAGAUCCUAUAGCGGAGCAAGAUAGACCACUCCUUCUAAAUGCAAUGGGCUGAGACGUGUAGUACGGAACGGAGCAUCCAUCACAGU